UGGGGUAUAGCUCAGUGGUAAAGCACAUGCUUAGCAUGCACGAGGUCCUGGGUUCAAUCCCCAACACUUUCA
RNAcentral lists this transfer RNA (72 nucleotides) under Camelus ferus (Wild Bactrian camel). It matches the Rfam family "tRNA". Rfam says of the family: Transfer RNA (tRNA) molecules are approximately 80 nucleotides in length. Their secondary structure includes four short double-helical elements and three loops (D, anti-codon, and T loops). Further hydrogen bonds mediate the characteristic L-shaped molecular structure. tRNAs have two regions of fundamental functional importance: the anti-codon, which is responsible for specific mRNA codon recognition, and the 3' end, to which the tRNAs corresponding amino acid is attached (by aminoacyl-tRNA synthetases). tRNAs cope with the degeneracy of the genetic code in two manners: having more than one tRNA (with a specific anti-codon) for a particular amino acid; and 'wobble' base-pairing, i.e. permitting non-standard base-pairing at the 3rd anti-codon position. The record is from Rfam by way of RNAcentral. Lineage: Eukaryota; Metazoa; Chordata; Mammalia; Artiodactyla; Camelidae.